Molecule: unclassified non-coding RNA, 228 nt
Filed under: root metagenome
Description: partial contains small subunit ribosomal RNA, internal transcribed spacer 1, and 5.8S ribosomal RNA
Source: RNAcentral
UCUCCGUUGGUGAACCAGCGGAGGGAUCAUUACAGAGUUGCAAAACUCCCUAAACCAUUGUGAACGUUACCCAAACCGUUGCUUCGGCGGGCGGCGCCCAGCGCCCCCCCGGCCCCUCGCGGGGCGCCCGCCGGAGGCCCCAAACUCUUAUGUCUUUAGUGGUUUUCUCCUCUGAGUGACACAUAAACAAAUAAAUAAAAACUUUCAACAACGGAUCUCUUGGUUCUG